Molecule: ribosomal RNA, 700 nt
Filed under: uncultured bacterium
Lineage: Bacteria
Description: bacterial SSU rRNA
Rfam family: Bacterial small subunit ribosomal RNA
Source: RNAcentral
AGAGGCGGACGGGUGAGGAACGCUUGGGAAUCUGCCUAUCAGCGGGGGACAACCCGGGGAAACCCGGGCUAAUACCGCAUACGCUCUACGGAGGAAAGCCGGGGACCGCAAGGCCUGGCACUGAUAGAUGAGCCCAAGUCGGAUUAGCUAGUUGGCGGGGUAACGGCCCACCAAGGCGACGAUCCGUAGCUGGUCUGAGAGGACGAUCAGCCACACCGGAACUGAGACACGGUCCGGACUCCUACGGGAGGCAGCAGUGGGGAAUAUUGGACAAUGGGCGAAAGCCUGAUCCAGCGACGCCGCGUGGGUGAAGGAGGCCUGCGGGUUGUAAAGCCCUUUCGGUAGGGACGAAAGCUCUCGACCUAACACGUCGGGAGGUUGACUUAACCUACAAAAGAAGCACCGGCUAACUCUGUGCCAGCAGCCGCGGUAAUACAGAGGGUGCGAGCGUUAAUCGGAAUUACUGGGCGUAAAGCGCACGUAGGCGGCUUGGUAUGUCGGGUGUGAAAUCCCCGGGCUCAACCUGGGAACUGCAUCCGAAACUGCCUUGCUCGAGUAUGGGAGAGGGAAGUGGAAUUUCCGGUGUAGCGGUGAAAUGCGUAGAUAUCGGAAGGAACAUCAGUGGCGAAGGCGACUUCCUGGACCAAUACUGACGCUCAGGUGCGAAAGCGUGGGGAGCAAACAGGAUUAGAUACCCUGG